AGCGAACGCUGGCGGCGUGCCUAACACAUGCAAGUCGAACGUGAAAAGGGAAACCUGAGUAAAGUGGCGUACGGGUGAGUAACGCGUAGGUAAUCUACCCCAGAAUCUGGAAUAACCUGCCGAAAGGCGGGCUAAUACUGGAUAGAGCGAGGGAACUCGUAAGAGAGUUUUUCGGGAAAGGGAGCCCGCAAGGGCCUUCGUUCUGGGAUGAGCCUGCGUCUCAUGAGCUAGUUGGUAAGGUAACGGCUUCCCAAGGCGAUGAUGAGUAGCUGGUCUGAUAGGAUGAUCAGGCACCCUGGAACUGAAGAAAGGUCCAGACCCCCACGGGAGGCAGCAAUGGGGAAUCUUGCGCAAUGGACGAAAGUCUUACGCAACCACGCCGCGUGAGUGAAGAAAGCCUUCGGGUUGUAAAGCUCUGUCGGAUGGGACGAACAUCUUCAUAGUGAAUAGCUAUGAGGACUGACGGUACCAUCAAAGGAAGCACCGGCUAACUCCGUG
Molecule: ribosomal RNA, 498 nt
Filed under: uncultured bacterium
Lineage: Bacteria
Description: partial 16S ribosomal RNA
Rfam family: Bacterial small subunit ribosomal RNA
Source: RNAcentral